UACGUAGGGUGCGAGCGUUGUCCGGAAUUAUUGGGCGUAAAGAGCUUGUAGGCGGUUUGUCGCGUCUGCUGUGAAAUCUCAAGGCUCAACCUUGAGCUUGCAGUGGGUACGGGCAGACUAGAGUGUGGUAGGGGAGACUGGAAUUCCUGGUGUAGACGGUGAAAUGCGCAGGAUAUCAGGAGGAACACCGAUGGCGAAGGCGGCGCUCUGGGCCGGAACUGACGC
Molecule: ribosomal RNA, 225 nt
Filed under: uncultured bacterium
Lineage: Bacteria
Description: partial 16S ribosomal RNA
Rfam family: Bacterial small subunit ribosomal RNA
Source: RNAcentral